CCAUCUUGGAUUUUGAUGUAAACAAUCUGCAAUAUUUUGCAAUAUUUUUUUUUGCUUUUUGUGUGUGGAAUUGGUUUUGAUGGUAAUGAGAGCAUUGAAAAGUUCAAAGCUCAAGAGAAUAAAUCGACUCUCGGUGUCGGUUGGUGACAGAGAUAUUUUUCCCGCGUUUUGCAGCUAGAGACGUCGGUCAAUCGUUCGAUUUAUUCAUAUAAUCGAAUAUCUGCAUCAGUAAUUUUAUAUCGAAUAAUGAAAAAUCAAGAAAACACAGUGCAAAAUUUGUUUAACCGUCAUGGUGUUUCGUCGAAAUUCAUCGAAUAUGCUAAAUCAUUUACGGUUGAAGCAUGAAAAUGAUUCCUUGGUGGUGAAGGAAACUGGGAAGAAGAAUUCAAGGUCUGCAGGAGUAAAAUGCGGACUUGAAGAAGAUGGUCUAAGCUCCCGUUCUAAAAUAGUAGUAUUCAAAUUCAGAGUGCCAAGGAAGAUAUACCAUACUAGUGGUCAAUGAUUCUAUAAAUAUACUUUAGAACUAGUAGUUAUAGAAACCAAGCAGAAAUAUUCAAACAAAUCAGCUAUUUCAACAUUCGAAGAACAGAUAAUUUUGAACAGCAAAAAUUUGAUGCUGGUGCAAUAAAAAUGUAGGUCGGACUCGGUUAUAUACAGACUCGAUUAUAUGUGAUUCGAUUAUAUAAAAUUUUUGACUCGAUAUUUUUUUUCCAAACUGUAUAUAA
This is a long non-coding RNA of Toxorhynchites rutilus septentrionalis, 725 nucleotides long. RefSeq lists it as uncharacterized. The record is from RefSeq and is a predicted model, not a curated record. The transcript has 3 exons. NCBI's taxonomy places the organism in Eukaryota, Metazoa, Arthropoda, Insecta, Diptera, Culicidae.